This 484-nucleotide ribosomal RNA is filed under the name uncultured bacterium. Its description in RNAcentral is "partial 16S ribosomal RNA". It matches the Rfam family "Bacterial small subunit ribosomal RNA", at positions 30 to 507 of the family's 1533-position model. The record is from RNAcentral.
AUUGAACGCUGGCGGCAGGCCUAACACAUGCAAGUCGAGCGGAUGAAGGGAGCUUGCUCCUGGAUUCAGCGGCGGACGGGUGAGUAAUGCCUAGGAAUCUGCCUGGUAGUGGGGGAUAACGUCCGGAAACGGGCGCUAAUACCGCAUACGUCCUGAGGGAGAAAGUGGGGGAUCUUCGGACCUCACGCUAUCAGAUGAGCCUAGGUCGGAUUAGCUAGUUGGUGGGGUAAAGGCCUACCAAGGCGACGAUCCGUAACUGGUCUGAGAGGAUGAUCAGUCACACUGGAACUGAGACACGGUCCAGACUCCUACGGGAGGAAGCAGUGGGGAAUAUUAGACGAUGGGCGAAAGCCUGAUCCAGCCAUGCCGCGUGUGUGAAGAAGGUCUUCGGAUUGUAAAGCACUUUAAGUUGGGAGGAAGGGCAGUAAGUUAAUACCUUGCUGUUUUGACGUUACCAACAGAAUAAGCACCGGCUAACUUCGUG